GAGCUAUUCAAGAAGGGCAACAAUCUAAGCAUCUCUUCAAAUGAGCAAUAGCUAAAUGCUAUGUUCAAUGCAGGUUGGGUGCCCCGGUCAUUCAAGUGGUGUUCUGUACAGUCAACAAGGCAGUACUAUGUUUGUCUUGUUGCUCAUUGACAAAUUUAAUAUGGGUGUCAAUUCUUUCAGUUUGUGGUCCUUUCAAGUGGACAAAUCUUAAAAAAACAAUAUAAUUGGCAAAGUGACA
RNAcentral lists this unclassified non-coding RNA (238 nucleotides) under Hevea brasiliensis (rubber tree). Lineage: Eukaryota; Viridiplantae; Streptophyta; Magnoliopsida; Malpighiales; Euphorbiaceae. The record is from RNAcentral.